Molecule: ribosomal RNA, 1152 nt
Filed under: Salmonella enterica
Lineage: Bacteria; Pseudomonadati; Pseudomonadota; Gammaproteobacteria; Enterobacterales; Enterobacteriaceae
Description: partial 23S ribosomal RNA
Rfam family: Bacterial large subunit ribosomal RNA
Source: RNAcentral
GAAGAUACCAGCUGGCUGCAACUGUUUAUUAAAAACACAGCACUGUGCAAACACGAAAGUGGACGUAUACGGUGUGACGCCUGCCCGGUGCCGGAAGGUUAAUUGAUGGGGUCAGCGCAAGCGAAGCUCCUGAUCGAAGCCCCGGUAAACGGCGGCCGUAACUAUAACGGUCCUAAGGUAGCGAAAUUCCUUGUCGGGUAAGUUCCGACCUGCACGAAUGGCGUAAUGAUGGCCAGGCUGUCUCCACCCGAGACUCAGUGAAAUUGAACUCGCUGUGAAGAUGCAGUGUACCCGCGGCAAGACGGAAAGACCCCGUGAACCUUUACUAUAGCUUGACACUGAACAUUGAGCCUUGAUGUGUAGGAUAGGUGGGAGGCUUUGAAGUGUGGACGCCAGUCUGCAUGGAGCCGACCUUGAAAUACCACCCUUUAAUGUUUGAUGUUCUAACGUGGACCCGUAAUCCGGGUUGCGGACAGUGUCUGGUGGGUAGUUUGACUGGGGCGGUCUCCUCCUAAAGAGUAACGGAGGAGCACGAAGGUUGGCUAAUCCUGGUCGGACAUCAGGAGGUUAGUGCAAUGGCAUAAGCCAGCUUGACUGCGAGCGUGACGGCGCGAGCAGGUGCGAAAGCAGGUCAUAGUGAUCCGGUGGUUCUGAAUGGAAGGGCCAUCGCUCAACGGAUAAAAGGUACUCCGGGGAUAACAGGCUGAUACCGCCCAAGAGUUCAUAUCGACGGCGGUGUUUGGCACCUCGAUGUCGGCUCAUCACAUCCUGGGGCUGAAGUAGGUCCCAAGGGUAUGGCUGUUCGCCAUUUAAAGUGGUACGCGAGCUGGGUUUAGAACGUCGUGAGACAGUUCGGUCCCUAUCUGCCGUGGGCGCUGGAGAACUGAGGGGGGCUGCUCCUAGUACGAGAGGACCGGAGUGGACGCAUCACUGGUGUUCGGGUUGUCAUGCCAAUGGCACUGCCCGGUAGCUAAAUGCGGAAGAGAUAAGUGCUGAAAGCAUCUAAGCACGAAACUUGCCCCGAGAUGAGUUCUCCCUGAGACUUUAGGUCUCCUGAAGGAACGUUGAAGACGACGACGUUGAUAGGCCGGGUGUGUAAGCGCAGCGAUGCGUUGAGCUAACCGGUACUAAUGAACCGUGAGGCUUAACCUU